RNAcentral lists this long non-coding RNA (449 nucleotides) under Androctonus crassicauda. Lineage: Eukaryota; Metazoa; Arthropoda; Arachnida; Scorpiones; Buthidae. The record is from RNAcentral.
UAACAUAAAGUAGCGUUUUUUGACAUUAGUAGCUACAUCAUUUUGACGUCAUGAGUCGACUUCGACUCACAAAUUUGGUCGAUGUUAAAGUUAUCGCUGAGCGUCGCACUUUAGUAGCACAAUACACAUCGUGUUUAAUAGUAAAUAAUUGAAAUCAAGAUGGCUGCUUCUUGUUUUACCGCUGUUUUAAUCUAUGCAGUUUUAGAAGAGGAAUGGGUAGACGUGGAAGAAAUUCAACAUAUGUAUCCACAGAAAGCUGACCCCUUUCUUCUAUCAGAUACAAUCUUUAUAUCUCAAUUCCGAUUAAGCGAGGAAGCUGUAAGACAACUAUGUUUUGAUUUAUUGUUGUAUCUGAAAAGGCAGAGAAGACAUGUAACCUCUAAAGAGGAGGGAAAUAUUAUAAUGAUUAGCAAAUUUAAUUAAAUUCACAAAUUAAUUGUAAAUAUAGC